AUUGAACGCUGGCGGCAGGCCUAACACAUGCAAGUCGAGCGGAUGAAGGGAGCUUGCUCCUGGAUUCAGCGGCGGACGGGUGAGUAAUGCCUAGGAAUCUGCCUGGUAGUUGUGGAUAACGUCCGGAAACGGGCGCUAAUACCGCAUACGUCCUGAGGGAGAAAGUGGGGGAUCUUCGGACCUCACGCUAUCAGAUGAGCCUAGGUCGGAUUAGCUAGUUGGUGGGGUAAAGGCCUACCAAGGCGACGAUCCGUAACUGGUCUGAGAGGAUGAUCAGUCACACUGGAACUGAGACACGGUCCAGACUCCUACGGGAGGCAGCAGUGGGGAAUAUUGGACAAUGGGCGCAAGCCUGAUCCAGCCAUGCCGCGUGUGUGAAGAAGGUCUUCGGAUUGUAAAGCACUUUAAGUUGGGAGGAAGGGCAGUAAGUUAAUACCUCGCUGUUUUGACGUUACCAACAGAAUAAGCACCGGCUAACUUCGUG
This 484-nucleotide ribosomal RNA is filed under the name uncultured bacterium. RNAcentral describes it as "partial 16S ribosomal RNA". It matches the Rfam family "Bacterial small subunit ribosomal RNA", at positions 30 to 507 of the family's 1533-position model. The record is from RNAcentral.